RNAcentral lists this ribosomal RNA (799 nucleotides) under uncultured Anaerolineaceae bacterium. Its description in RNAcentral is "bacterial SSU rRNA". It matches the Rfam family "Bacterial small subunit ribosomal RNA", at positions 28 to 845 of the family's 1533-position model. The record is from RNAcentral. Lineage: Bacteria; Bacillati; Chloroflexota; Anaerolineae; Anaerolineales; Anaerolineaceae.
GAUGAACGCUGGCGGCGUGCUUAAUACAUGCAAGUCGGACGGAGAUUGUAGCAAUACGAUCUUAGUGGCGAACGGGUGAGUAACGCGUUGGUGACCUGCCCCGAAGAGAGGGAUAACAGAUCGAAAGGUCUGCUAAUACCACAUGUGGUCUAAUUGGUUAGAGGCGAAUAGACUGAAGGAGCAAUCCGCUUCGGGAGGGGCCUGCGUCCCAUCAGCUAGUUGGUAGGGUAAAGGCCUACCAAGGCGACGACGGGUAGGGGACCUGAGAGGGUGACCCCCCACACUGGCACUGAAACACGGGCCAGACACCUACGGGUGGCAGCAGUAGGGAAUAUUGCACAAUGGGCGAAAGCCUGAUGCAGCAACGCCGCGUGCGCGAUGAAGGCCUUCGGGUUGUAAAGCGCUUUUCUGGAGGACGAGCAAGGACGGUACUCCAGGAAUAAGGCUCGGCUAACUACGUGCCAGCAGCCGCGGUAAAACGUAGGAGCCAAGCGUUAUCCGAAUUCACUGGGCGUAAAGCGCGUGCAGGCGGUCUGGUAAGUUGGGUGUGAAAUCUCCUGGCUCAACUGGGAGAGGACGUUCAAUACUGUCAGACUCGAGGGCGGUAGAGGGAGGUGGAAUUCCCGGUGUAGUGGUGGAAAUGCGUAGAUAUCGGGAGGAACACCUGUGGCGAAAGCGGCACCCUGGCCCACACCUGACGCUGAGGUACGAAAGCGUGGGGAGUAAACAGGAUUAGAUACCCUGUAAUCCACGCUGUAAACGAUGUCAACUGGGUGUCGGUAGCUUUACGCUAUCGGUG